GACUCCUACGGGAGGCAGCAGUGGGGAAUAUUGCACAAUGGGCGGAAGCCUGAUGCAGCAACGCGCGUGAGGGAUGACGGCCUUCGGGUUGUAAACCUCUUUUAGCAAGGAAGAAGCUUUUGUGACGGUACUUGCAGAAAAAGCGCCGGCUAACUACGUGCCAGCAGCCGCGGUAAUACGUAGGGCGCAAGCGUUAUCCGGAAUUAUUGGGCGUAAAGAGCUCGUAGGCGGUUUGUCGCGUCUGCUGUGAAAUCCCGAGGCUCAACCUCGGGCUGCAGUGGGUACGGGCAGACUAGAGUGCGGUAGGGGAGAUUGGAAUUCCUGGUGUAGCGGUGGAAUGCGCAGAUAUCAGGAGGAACACCGAUGGCGAAGGCAGAUCUCUGGGCCGUAACUGACGCUGAGGAGCGAAAGGGUGGGGAGCAAACAGGCUUAGAUACCCUGGUAGUCCACCCCGUAAACGUUGGGAACUAGUUGUGGGGUCCUUUCCACGGAUUCCGUGACGCAGCUAACGCAUUAAGUUCCCCGCCUGGGGAGUACGGCCGCAAGGCUAAAACUCAAAGGAAUUGACGGGGACCCGCACAAGCGGCGGAGCAUGCGGAUUAAUUCGAUGCAACGCGAAGAACCUUACCAAGGCUUGACAUACACGAGAACACCCUAGAAAUAGGGGACUCUUUGGACACUCGUGAACAGGUGGUGCAUGGUUGUCGUCAGCUCGUGUCGUGAGAUGUUGGGUUAAGUCCCGCAACGAGCGCAACCCUCGUUCUAUGUUGCCAGCACGUAAUGGUGGGAACUCAUGGGAUACUGCCGGGGUCAACUCGGAGGAAGGUGGGGAUGACGUCAAAUCAUCAUGCCCCUUAUGUCUUGGGCUUCACGCAUGCUACAAUGGCCGGUACAAAGGGCUGCAAUACCGUGAGGUGGAGCGAAUCCCAAAAAGCCGGUCCCAGUUCGGAUUGAGGUCUGCAACUCGACCUCAUGAAGUCGGAGUCGCUAGUAAUCGCAGAUCAGCAACGCUGCGGUGAAUACGUUCCCGGGUCUUGUACACACCGCCCGUCAAGUCAUGAAAGUCGGUAACACCUGAAGCCGGUGGCCCAACCCUUGUGGGGGGAGCCGUACG
Molecule: ribosomal RNA, 1114 nt
Filed under: Microbacterium sp.
Lineage: Bacteria; Bacillati; Actinomycetota; Actinomycetes; Micrococcales; Microbacteriaceae
Description: bacterial SSU rRNA
Rfam family: Bacterial small subunit ribosomal RNA
Source: RNAcentral